AUUCCUUCCCAUUCACUCUACAUAGAUACAAAUUCAGUUUCCAUUUCCUAAUUGAAAUUCAACAUCAAAAUCAAAACCAAAUUCACUUCCCUUUUGUUCUACUGUGAUUCAGACCCACCACCACCAACAACCACCGUCUGCCACCACCAUUAACACCACCCCAACCAUUAGACCACCACCCGACCCCCCACCGUCGACCACCGUAUCUCCCUGCUUCCUCUCCUCCUCCACACGUACACCCUUGCCCCUCCCCUGUUUCUUUUCUCUUUCCUUGCUCACAGCACCACCAACGCAACGCCCCACCACCGUCCAGCAUAACCACCACUGGUGCAACCCUUCCGCGCCGCCCAGCCAGCCGCCAACGGCCUUCCUCCUCCCCAGAACGGAUCGAAAACCCCACCCCCAAACUCCCCUGUUUUCUCGCCUCCUUCGCACCCCCCUCCCUUUCUUUCGUCGUUCUGCCGCCGCAGACCAGCCACCACCACCUUCGCCUUCACCGGAGAUUCCUGGCGCCACCAAACCCAGCCCCAUCUCCCCUCCUCUUCGGCUCUGCUCCGCCGUGCUCCCUCCCCUGCUCUUGACCCUUUCCCACGAGACCGAAACAAAAAUAGAAGAAAAGAGAGAAAGCCUAUUCUAAUUUUUGAAGCCUUGAAUUUUAUUUUCCCUCAAACCCAAUCUCAGAUUGGGCCAUUCCUCAAAUUGGCUUUUUGGAAAUUGGACUCGGAGCUCAGGACGAACAAACCAAGGAAAAUCCCUAGCAAAUCGCGGAGUUAGGUACUGUGGGGAACGAUGGAAAUGAGUAGUUGCGAGGAAUUUCACUUUAAUAAUAUUCACCUAGUUUAUGCUUAAAGUUAUAAUAGUUUAAUUAAGAACUUUAGUAAAUUAUGUACUUUUAUUUUGGUAAUAUAAAGGAUUAUUAUAUUAUUUUGGAGUUCUAAUAGAUUAUGAUUGAUGGUUGCCUCGUAAUUUCCAAGAGGGAGUUACGGCAGGUAAUGUCCCGACCAAAUUAGGUUGAUUCCGCUGCUAAUUAUGCUUUAAUACUUGAAUCAGAGGUCGGGGCGUUACAACUAUGAUUGUUUAGAUGUUACCUUAGCAAAUUUAAUAAUAAUAUAAUACAAAAAAAUUAUAUUGUGAAAAAAAUGCAGACAUAAUUUAAUUGAAUUAAUAAUUAACUAGAUUUAUAGCCCGUGCGAUGCAUGGGUUAAAUUCAUUUUCUAUGAGAUAUUUUUUUUUCAACUUUAAACGAUAGUUAGAAUAGUGAUGGUUUUUAUAAUCAAUGAAUAUGACCGUUUAACGGGUCUUUAUUUAUCUAUUAAAUUUUUUAAAAAUUAUCUC
Molecule: long non-coding RNA, 1335 nt
Organism: Spinacia oleracea (spinach)
Lineage: Eukaryota; Viridiplantae; Streptophyta; Magnoliopsida; Caryophyllales; Amaranthaceae
Exons: 3
Source: RefSeq, a predicted model, not a curated record